UCUCUGCCUCUCUCUCUCUCUCUCUCUCUCUCUCUCUAUCUCCCGGGUCUCUAUGAAAAAAUAAAAUCUUUAAAAAAAAGAAAUGAGAUCUCAUAAUGAUGAAAUUAAAAAUACUCUAACUGGACUUAGUCUAAAAUGGAUGCUCUAACUGCAAGGGUAUUUGAGGCAGAAGAGAGAGUAAGUGACAAGGAAGACAAGUUGAUGGAAAUAAAGGAUACUGAGGAAAAGAGAAAAGUAACUAAUAGAAUGUGAGGAGAGGCUCUGAGAGAUAAGGGAGGGUAUGAAGAAAAAAAUCUCAAUUAUUGGAAUUAUUGGAGUUCCUGAAGAUACAGAGAGAGAGAGAGAGAGAGAGAGAGAGAGAGAAUUUAUAUUUGAGCAAAUUAUAGCUGAGAACUUCCUUAAUCUGGGGAAAGAGACAGGCAUUCAUAUCUAAGAGAUAGAUAGAGAAGACCCCUUCCCAAAUCAAUAAAAAUAGAUCAACACCCCAACAUAUGAUACUGAAGCUUGCAAAUUCCAGAGACAAAGAGAAAAUCCUGAAAUCACCUUUAGACCAGUGGUUCCUAAAUCUCCUAACCUAGAAACAUUAAGCUGGCAAAAGAACUAUCCACAGAAACACAACAAGCCAGAAAGUGCUGGCAUGAUAUAUUUAGGGUACUAAAUGAGAAAAAAAUACAGUCAAGAAUAUUUUCCAGCAAGGCUGUCAUUCAGAAGUGGAGAGAUAAAGAGAUUCCAGGAUAUAGAGAAACUGAAAGAAAAUGUGACCACCAAGCCACUCUGGAAGAAAUAUUAAAGGGGAUCCUGUAAGUGAAGAGAGGGCCAAGGAGUAACCUGGACCAGAAAGGAACAGAGAUAAUCUGCAGAAACAGGGAAGGUACAGGUUACUCCACUGGUCAGCAGUGUAAUGUAGCCAGUCCUAUCCCUUCACACCACAUUACCCACAUCCUUCACCUCUGCUCUGCCAUGCCAGAGGGUGUUAUAUGCAGCAGGUGCCAUGACCAUUGAAAAGGCCUUGGGAGAAGGCACACUGCUGAGGGUGGUUUCUGUGGUCAGGGAACCCUGAAGACAGCAUCCAGUACCCCAGUGAGCAUUGCACUGAGUGGGGACUGUGGCAGCUGCCAUAUCUCCUUCAUCAAUCCAUUGCAAGGAAUUGGGUAUGAGGAGGAGGACUCAGCUCCCACUGGGGUGGUGAGGACCACUGACAUACUUGCCACUAUUCUCAUUUCACCAGUGUGGUACUGUGGGAUGUGCCCAAGUAGUGGCAGUCAUGCAAAACCUGUAUAACUGUGAAGGAGAUGCAGGUUAGCUGAUACGACUUCACCAUCAUGCCUGCAUCCAAGAGUUCCGCAUGAAUCUCAAGAAGUUUGCCAAAAUCAUAUGUAACCUGGAAAAGUGGUUCCAUAUCAUCAGAGCAAGCUGAACAAGGAUCUCAGCACAAGUGCAUUCUGAGAGGAAUGACUCCUGCAGAAUAUCUGGGAGAUUAUCCAUGAAAAUCCCCCAGAAGAAGUGGGUGUGUGAACCCAUCAUAUCCUAGGUCUCUAGCCUUGACCCUUGAUUGCAUGACUUCUAAGAACUUAGGAACACCUUGAACAAGGGUCUCUCUGACAUCAGGAAACAUGUUCCACUAAAAAACCUGUCUACAUCAGUGAGAAGAUCCUCAAUGACAAGGUAAUCUCUCUGCAGAUGGGAAUCACCAGACAGUGUUUGCAGGACACCCUUGGUGUUCAGAAUGAAGAUGAUUUGGAGUAGUGUCUGAAUACCUGCUGUUGUUUCUUUGGAAUGGGUGAUGAAUCUCUCUAGAGGGUGGCACAGAGUCUGGGAUUCCCAUGAAGGAGUACAGCACCAUCAUGAAAUCCUUAGAUCUGUACCCUCUCUAUAAAAUGAACUGGAGACUGACUUCAUGACUUCUUCACUAGUGAAGUAUUCCUUAGCCUUCUUAGGUACAUCCACUUCUUGGGUGACCAUGUCAUUCUCUGCUUUAGCUGACUGAAGAAAUGAUGCACCCUUGAAUUAGAUGCCAAGGAAAUGAAGACCAUCCUGAGGAAAUCCUUUCUUCCAGAGCUAACCACUUGGACAUAGUCCAAUAAGUUCAUUCUCAAGUGGAAGUCAGGUUGCCUUCAGAUCCUCUUCCAGGAGGAUACAGUUUUUUCUCCACUAGAAAGGAAUGGAUUUAACCUAACACUUUCUUUUAUCUCUAAGAGUAUUAGUUUCUUGAAAGCAAUUUUUAAAAUGAUCUGUCUUCCUAAACCCAAUCCUAAUGCACUGUUCCCUUGAAAAAUAACUAUUUGUUAAGUCAUUAAAUAAGUUAUCUGGGUUUAGAAUAUAGAAAUUUUGUUUUAAGUUGCAAAUUGUCAUGUAUGUCUGGAGCAGUCUUUUUCAUCUCAGAGCCUAUGGCAACAGCAAGCACAUCAAAACUACUCAGCACUAGUUUCGUGAAGUGCACUCCCCACAUGCCACAGAAGAUGUCCACCUCCCUAAAGCUAGUUAGAGUUGAGGAUCAGACAGGAGGAUGGAGAAACUCUACCAGCAUCACCCCAGGGUGGGGGAAAAACAUGGAAUUUCAGGGUAAAGGGGCAUGGAGACCUACACAAUUGAAGCCAAUGAUGUAUAACAGUGGGAGAUAAUACAUUUUUGUUUGUUUGUUUAUUAUUAAAAUAAUAAUAAUAAAAUAAAUAAUAAAAUAAAAUAAAAUAAUUUUUUAUAAAUUUA
Long non-coding RNA from Canis lupus familiaris (dog), 2706 nucleotides. RefSeq lists it as uncharacterized. Lineage: Eukaryota; Metazoa; Chordata; Mammalia; Carnivora; Canidae. The record is from RefSeq and is a predicted model, not a curated record. The transcript has 2 exons.